Molecule: regulatory RNA element, 98 nt
Organism: Microbacterium aurum
Lineage: Bacteria; Bacillati; Actinomycetota; Actinomycetes; Micrococcales; Microbacteriaceae
Rfam family: mraW RNA
Source: Rfam
GUUCUGACCGUGGCCGUGACUCCCAGCCGCACGCCCUGACACACUUCCCCGGUGCCAGGUCGCGGCGGAUGGGGAUCACGACUCCGGAUCGGAUCCCG